UAGUUUCUCUGUCGUCUACAAAAUCAAGGCAUUACAGUUAAGGAAUCAUAUUAUACCAUGAUCAUAUUUUUAAAUCAAUAAAACUUGUUUCCGUGGAUUUCAAACGUAUUGGAAAAAAAAAAAAAAACACACUAAGCUGGUUCUGAUACCAAUGCCAGAAUAUAUAGCAUGCUCCAUGAAUUCAAAAACAAUUACCUGAAUUCUUAUCUGUUGCAUGUGAAAGCGGAUGCGGAAGUGGAAGAACCAAGGUUGAAUCACAGUUCAAUUUGAUCGGAAAUCACAAAUUCGGAAAGCUUUCUCAAAUUACAAUUUAAGACUUACUUGAAAUGAAUUAUAGAGUUCUCAAAAACUAUCUAAUUAUUAUUUCUCUUGCAUUCCUCUCUGCCUUUACCUAUAAGGUUGCAUUCUUUAUAAUCCAUGCUCUCUGCAUCUUGUUACUUUGCUAGGAGAGAAGAUUAAAGAGAGGAAGAGAAAUUAGCAAAAUUCAACAUCAUUCAACUUCCCCUCAACUUUUCUUUAUAACUACGCUACUGGUAGAAAUUACCGAAGUGGUAUUUACUUCAAUAUAGGUUGGAUCGGGGCAGCCCAUCAUGGGCACCCUAUUCGACAACCUGCCAAGAUCUAAUACAAAGUAGGGGUCUGGUUCAGACUCCAGAGUUUUAUCAAUCACGUAGUAUGUGUCAGAUCUGAA
This 691-nucleotide long non-coding RNA is filed under the name Citrus maxima (pomelo). RNAcentral's name for it is "long non-coding RNA (CMAX_LNC000037)". Lineage: Eukaryota; Viridiplantae; Streptophyta; Magnoliopsida; Sapindales; Rutaceae. The record is from RNAcentral.